This 740-nucleotide long non-coding RNA is filed under the name Physeter macrocephalus (sperm whale). RNAcentral's name for it is "Physeter catodon (sperm whale) lncRNA (ENSPCTG00005005383.1)". The record is from RNAcentral. Lineage: Eukaryota; Metazoa; Chordata; Mammalia; Artiodactyla; Physeteridae.
AGGUGACCCGGUAUCCAGUGGGCAAAGUAGCAGGAGGGUGAGAAGGGCUCUGGGUGACUGACAUGAGCUAAGGCCUCAGAGGAAGGUGACAAAUUUAGGCAGCAUGCAGCUCUGAAGGUUGUAUUUCAUUUUAAAGUAACCCCCGCCCAUUUCCAUCCUGCACCUGGUUUGCUUCCUUCCUCACCUGAUCCCAUUCUGUAAUUACACGCUCACUCGUUUAUUAUCCGAACUCUCCUCUAGAAGGAAAGCUCGAGAAGGAAAGUCUGUUGCUGCCUUAUCCACCAUCUAGACGCAGUGCCCGACAGAGCCCCGCGCAGAGAAGGUGCUGGAAAGCCCGUUUCGCCUGCAUAAAGGCAUGUGAGCAGGGAUGAAGACUUUCACUGGUUCGCUGACCUUCCUCUUCUUCCUGGAGCUCUCGGAACUUUGCUGACUGUACACAAAAUUCAUUCUUUGAAUCUGUGAGAAUCACCAGAGAGAGGCACAAUUCAGCAGAGAUUUUGACGUCUGCACAAGGUGUGUUCCAACUGGCUGAGUUUGCACCUUUGAUGCCAAAGCCACCCAGGCAAGCAUUCCCCUGGAGGUGUCCAAGUUAAAAACCUGGGAGUUGAGGGAGACCUUUAAGAUGGCGGAGGAGUAAGACGUGGAGAUCACCUUCCCCCCUACAAAUCCAUCAGAAAUACAUCUAUAUGUGGAACAACUCCUACAGAAUACCUCCUGAACGCUGGCAGAAGACCUCAGAC